GGGGCUGCACUGGUUUCGACAUCGGUUCGGACGCGUGGCAGGGCAUGUCGAGGUUCUGUUACCUCGUAAAACAGCAGAAAAAAACUAACUGCAAACGACGAACGUUUCGCACUCGCCGCUUAAUCCGGUG
RNAcentral lists this transfer-messenger RNA (130 nucleotides) under Betaproteobacteria bacterium. Its description in RNAcentral is "partial transfer-messenger RNA". It matches the Rfam family "transfer-messenger RNA", at positions 1 to 137 of the family's 374-position model. From Rfam's summary of the family: Bacterial tmRNA, also known as 10Sa RNA or SsrA, is named for its dual tRNA and mRNA-like properties. Its role is to liberate the mRNA from a stalled ribosome. The record is from RNAcentral. Lineage: Bacteria; Pseudomonadati; Pseudomonadota; Betaproteobacteria.